Molecule: long non-coding RNA, 947 nt
Filed under: Androctonus crassicauda
Lineage: Eukaryota; Metazoa; Arthropoda; Arachnida; Scorpiones; Buthidae
Source: RNAcentral
AAAAGCAUCAUGGUUUGUAUCUUGAGAAUAAGUUCAUAUCUAAAGAUCAAAAUGGGAUAUGAAAAAAGUUCAUAUCUUGAAAAGUUCAUAUGUAGAGUGAUUCAUAACUCAAGGUAUCAUUGUAUUUGUACAAAAAGAGUGUGUGUGCAAGGAAAGGCUGAAAAUGUUUUAGUAAUAAAAUUAUUUCCUGUUACAAGAACUAAAUAAUUAAGAAAGUAUCACUUGAAUUACAUUAUUAAAAGUUAUGAAGGACAAUUUCUAUUAGUAGUAAUCCCAUGAGCAUACCAUGAAGCAGUAAAAAUUGCUAAAAAUUGAUGUUUGUGAGUAGCCAGAUAUGUUACUUCAGCUAUAACUCUAAACUAGAACUUUGUAAUUUGUUGGUUUCUGCAACCAACAAACUACAAGUUCCAGGAAACAUGGUUCUACUUUUUAAAUUCAUGAAUAAAGAUAUUAAAUUUGAAACAUAUAGGUUAUUGUCUUUGCUGGGAUUAAUUUCAUUAACUUUAGAUAGUCAUAUCCAUUCUUAAUAAUAAACAGGUAAUUGCAAGGCUGGCUUUAACGUUUUUGGCCUUUCUUUGAGGCCAUUAUCAAUGUACACACUCUUUUUGCACAAAUAUAGUGGUAUCUCGACUUAUAAACUGCUCUACAUACAAACUUUUUUUAUAUUUGAUUUUGGUCUCUAGAUAUGAACAUAUUCUUUAAAUAUGAACCUAAGUACGAACUAUGAUGUCCUUAAGACUUCUAUAUCUAAAUUAAUAAAGAUCAUUAAUACAUAUAGAUAUUUCUCAACUUACAACAGGGUUCAAUUUCAAAUCCUGGGGCUGUAAGUUUUAAUGGUCAGAAAUCUAAAAUACCCAAAAUUUUAGGAUUUCUCAUUUCUAAUAUUUACUAGGACACUAUAUAUUAUCUUAAUAAGCAUAAAGAACAUAAAACUACAAGAAUCAGAC